GGACUUUACAGCACAAUCAACUUAUUAUUGCGACUUUGAAGUAGGCAGACACUCUGUAUUACUAUGCUUAAGUUCAGUUUAUUUUUCAGGAAAGGUGUGCUUCUUAGUGGGAUUUGCAAAUGUUAUGGAGUAGUCAUAAAUGAGGGGGCCACCGCAAUUCCGAGAUUACCAGUGUGGCAGCACUGGCUAAAGCAGCCACACCAGAAUAUCUUAUCUCAGCAACGAUGCCUUCAAUCAUAGCAAUCUUUGAUGGGCACACUGACAAAAAUCAUUCUGUGCAGCAAACAUCACCUACAGUUGUAACUGAGAGAAUGCAGCAUUUGCUGUACCAGUAGAGAAGGAGGCCAUCUUGCCGAGACUUGAGAGUUGCACUCACUUACAAAAGAUCGGUAAGAAAAAGAGGGCACCUUCCCUCGGGGCCACCUUCAGUAAUAGAACUGUGCAUUCAAAAGCAAUAUCGGCAUUGUUUCUGUCAUGAGACCCACUCAAUUCCAGGAAAACACUGGCACU
This 510-nucleotide long non-coding RNA is filed under the name Eucalyptus grandis. RNAcentral's name for it is "long non-coding RNA (EGRA_LNC005086)". Lineage: Eukaryota; Viridiplantae; Streptophyta; Magnoliopsida; Myrtales; Myrtaceae. The record is from RNAcentral.